GUCACCGUCUGUGCCCAAUUCCCCUGCAAGACUGAGGAAGACGAAGACUGAAAUCACCCUUUGUACUCAUGCCCUCCCCAGGAACAGUUUAGUGAAGUGGUGGAGACAGAAGCUGCCUGUAGCUGAUUCGAAAGAGAAUACGAAAUAAGGACUUUGGGACAGAGAACAAAAUACUCUCUGGAGAACGAGAGAUGAAGAAAUGGAGCUACGGAAGGAUGAGCCCAUGCAGUAAAGGAAGCAUUUUUUUUCCCCAGGAUGGGAGAUAUUAUACCAUACUUGUAAGAAGGACAGACGGAUGCGACAGAUGGAGCGUGUGACGGGCAGAGUGUCUGGGAGAGCAAACACAGGUGGCCAACAAGGUGAUUCAGGGACCCAGGGCCCUUCCACAUAUUGGCUGCUCCAAAUACUCCAUUGGCCGCUCUGAGUCUGGCCUGGAGAUGAGGGGAGAGAGAUCACCAGCAGAGAAUCUCAGGGACAAGUUCAGAGGCCACGUGCAAUGCUACAUACAUUCAAUUGGCCAGAGGAAGACACUGAUUUGGAGAAGACAAGUAACUGUCCUGAGGCCGCACAGGAAGCAAGCAAGUUUCUAAAGCCUCUUUGACAACUCUUUCUACUGCAACAUAAUAGCUGCCUUUUAUUGUUAUGAAUACAGUUUUAAAGCCCUCUACAGACCAGUCACUGGCAAACAAGGAAUCAGACAAAUAUUGAAAACCUUGUGGACACAGUUCAGUCAAAAAAGUGGAUAUUCCUCAGGAAAAUAUAAUAAUUAUCAUAUUUUUCAUGAUUAAGGCACGGUUCUAAAAUUUCUCCUAGACCCUCUUCUAUGAGAAUUUAUAGCAUAGCUAAAUAUCAAUAACCCCACAAUACUAGGUUUAUGUUUUAAAUGCAAGAUAGAAUGCAAAAGCAGAUGGGAUGCCACGUAUCCAAGACAACUUGAUCCAUUUCCCAAAUCAACAGCCCUCAAAUGCCUCAUUACCAACCCAUUUGCAAGUUUCCCCCAGACAUGACAACUCAGGAAACCUGAAACCCCAACCAAUUUGGAUGGGAUUUCUAGGUCAAACCCUGAAUCCUUUCGUUAUUUUCUCUCUGCCAUCACAAAGUACACAAAAAAAUGUCUGGGUCUUUUUAUGAUACGAGCCCAGAACCAUUUCCAACCUACCCAAAAUGGCAUUCCACAUGGUAACUUGAGUGGAGUGAAAGAGAUGGCAGAGAAAUUAGUCAUGCCUCAAACAGCAAGCUAAAGACCUCCUACCCUGCAAUUUGGGCUUUACUUAAGGUCCUACAGAAAGAGCUGCAUUCAGGAGCUUGGGUGGUCCCACAUUGGCAGGGGCUAGGGGGAAAGUGAAGCAAUGCAUGAGGCAGAGAAGACAGGCCUACAGAACUAAAUGCAACUAUGACACCAACACAUCAGCCAAUAUCCACCCCUUUCUGUUGUAAUGCAUGCUCUUUUAAAUGUAGUGAUUUGUUCCUGGCCAAAAUGUCACAAAACAUGUUCUUCCAUUCUUGAGUUUUCCAUUCAGAACACUGUGUCCUAAAGGAGACUAGUUUCCACAGUGAAAAAUAAUUGGGUAUGGCCAUGUGAAUGAAAGAAAAAUCAUUUAAAUCUCUUUUCUUCUACUCAUAAAUUAACAAAGUUUCAACAUGUAGCAUAAAAAAGUAACAGGACAAGAACAGUCAGUACACAAAGGAAAAAAUACGAACAGCCAACUGUAUUAAUAGCCAAAGAAAUGCUAAACAAACCAAUAGUAUUUUCACCUAUCGUAUUGGCAAAAAAUUUUAAAUAAGUUAAAAUAUCUAGUGUUAUUUCGGAUAUGAGGAAACAGAUUCUCAUUAACUGCUAAUAAAAGUGCAAAUUGAUAAAAUGUGUCUGGAAAGUAAUGUGGAAAUUUAUCAAAAAGAUUUAACACAUGCAUGGAAGAACUUCUGAGUCAAAGAAUAUGAUCUAUUUUGACAUUAUCCAUCAGAAAAUGUGUAAGGCUUUAUGCUUCAAUCAGAACAGAGAGCUGAUUGGUUGGAUGGCUAUUCUUUGGUCAGUGACAUACUGUACUACUUGUAAAAUAUUUUGAUUAUCACCCCUGAAUAUGCCAGCACUCAUUUGAAUGUAUCUCCCAUACUAGAUAUUGGUGUAUUUUUAAAAAAUUAGUGAUGUGGUAAGAGGUAAAUGUUAUCACUCUGAUUUAAUUUUCAUUAUGUAAUUGUUGGUAAUAUUGAACAUGUUUUCAUAUAUUUAUUCAACACUGUAAUUUUUAUGGAGAACUGUGAAUUUCUUUUUCUACUCCCCUUUUCUGUUAGAGGAAUUAUAGCAAGUAAGGUAGGUUUGGGGAAAGAUAUGACAAUUUUUCAUUCUUUGGUUGUGACAAACUGGUGAAUGAACUAAAUAACAGAACCAUAACUAAUGAAUUAUUACCUGCCCAAAAAAGGGUUGUCAUGGUCUUAGAUACUGAAAACAUUCCAAACAUUUUUGGUUUUUGGUUUUAUUGUAUAUGCUGUUUUUAAACAAGAUUUCUCAUCUUAAUUAUUUUGUUCUCGGCUCAAAUGAACAGCAGUCUGGAACCACUGAACACACAUCAGCCAACAUGGGAAGCAGACAUCUGGCCCAGGAGAGAAAUCAAAACAGGAAGGUAAAAUUCACCCCAGUUAGUUCAUAAAAUCAAAAAUGUCCGCACGAAAGAUAAAAUACCAUCUUCUCGUUCUGCAACUUUAGUCUUUCACUCAAAUAGCAGGAUGCAAAUUCUCAUACUUCAAGAUUUAUAUAUCCCAUAGCUCAAGACAGACAAAUGACCAGAUGACAGUUUCAUAGCAUAAUACCCAUUGUCAGCUACUAGUUAAAAAUUAACUCAUGGCAAAUUCAUGUCAUAUAUCUGGAAGAAAACUGCUUAAGUUUUCUUUAAAGCAUCCUUGAGAACAAGCUUCUGGCAUGAAAAUGGAAAAUAGGUUGAAGAAUAUUAAUAAAUGUUAAUAAAACUUGUAAAGUACUAAAGUAUAGAAAAAUUGGGUGGGAAAUUUUUUUGCUCUGAAAAACAGCUUGAAUUGCUUGUCCCUUAAAACUCCAUAGAUGAUUUCCAUAUUCACAUCUGUAUAUGUCAUGCCAGAAAAGGAUGAAAGGGAGAAAGAAGAGGAACGUUAAGUGUCUGGGAAGGAACAGGAAAGCCUGAUGUGCUUCAGGGAUUCAGGUUUUACACCAUACAUAGUCGAGAUGUUACUCUUACCAGAGAUAGAUCAUCGAGUCUUCCUCUUAUUUACAUAGAUACACUAUCGUGGAAGAUUUUCCCAAUUAAACUUAGGGUUUCUUUUCAGUAUUCCUUCAAUAUAUCUGACAAAUCCACAACUGAUAUAAAAUUUCAGAUGGAAAUGCUUCUAUAAACAUGCCACGUUUUCCCUCUCUUCUCCGAUUUCUAGAUACUUAGACUUGUGCCUUAAUCGCUUAAUAACAACUCAAACAACAAAGACCACAAUACCAUACAGGGGAAAUAAUGAUUUGAGAAACAAAAAUUGCUAAAGAGCAGAACUGACUUUCAUGUUUAUUUAAGGACUUUCCAUGGAACAAUGAUUUUUUUUUUAAAUUAAGUUCUUAUCUCCUUUAUUAUGAGAGUUUCCUGGAAGAAUUACAGUUGGGAAAGUGGCCACUUUCUUAUGAUUAAGCUCAGUCGUUCACUGCAGCAUGCUGCGAUCAUUAGGGCUUGUAAAAUCCCUUUUGCAGAUUUGCAAGGAGGCUAAAUUACAUUAUCUCCAUCAGAGUUUAUGUACCUAAAGAUGAAAGAUAGACUCAUUGAACUCAUAGAGUUGCAGAGUUCAGUGGAAUUCGGUUAUAGAACUACUACUGCUAACAACGAAAUACUGUAAGACUUCUAUUUUCAAUAUUACUGUUAACAGCAAAGCUAGAAAGAAACUUUCAGAUAAUCUAUGUAAAUAAAAUAUCCCUCAUAAAAAUUCACAGAAAAUGACUUUUCUUUUUAUGAUCCAUAUUCCACAUGUAAACUACUGUGAUAAAAUCUUCUAUGAAAAGAAGUAAAAUUAUUUUUAUAUUUCUUAUGUUUUAUUUGGCUCUUACGUAGUCUAAUAUAUGGAUCAUUGAUCAAAGUUUUUAUUUUUAAUCCAAAUAUUUUUUAUCAUGUAGUCACAGUAUAAAUUUUGAUUAUUAAUUUUUAGCAUAUCGGAAAACGAGGAAGAAAAGAAUUUGAAAAAUUAAAAAAAAAAUCGACUUUUGCAAUUGAAAUGCUGCAAAACUUAUUUAACUCCUUUAGAGCUUACUGAAUUUAUUCAUUUCCCAUUCCUUUGCAAAAAAAAAAAAAAUGAUAAAGUAGAUACAGAGAAUUUAAGAUAACUAAAUUUAUAAAGAAAAUUUGAAAACAGAUUAAGAGAAAAUGAUACUGAAAACAGUAACCAGUACUUUCAACAAGACAUGAUAACACAUAAAACCUGGUUCUUAACCUCAAGGAACCAAAUGUAGUGGAAACCAACACCUUUUUCCUUUUCCCGCUGGACGUACAGCUACAGUAUGUUUCCCACCCACCCUUGCACUGAGAGUAGUCAGGUGACUGAGUCCUGACCAGUGAAAUCUGGACCACAGAGAUGUGCAACGCUUCCAUGCCUGGCCUUUCCCCAUCUGCAAGAUGAAUGGACCCUACUGUAGGACUUAAGAGAGGAUGGACCAGCAAGCUAGAAGGAGCCUGAGUUUUCAAGUGACCACAUAGAAGGUGACCUACAGCCAGAAACACACACGUCAGCAUUUGUGUGAAUGAGAAAUAAUUCUUAUUGCAUUAAGCUGCUGAGAUUUUGGAGUUUAUCACUUAGCAUAAUCAAUUCAGUGAAGCAAAGAGAAACUUUAAAAUGUUAAUAAUUUUACUUCAAUACACACAUACAUACACAUAAACACAAAUGAUAUCAUGCAUAAUUGGAGAAAUCUGAACAAGCUCUGUGGGUUGUACCAAUGUCAAUUUCUUGGUAUCCUUAUCGUACUAUAGUUAUACGAUAUGUUAACUUUGGGGGAAUCUAAGGGGAAAAGUGUAGAGACCAUCCUGUACAUUUAUUUGCAACUUCCUGUAUAUCUAUAAUUAUGUCAAAAUAAUUUAAAAAUGUCCCUUGAUUAGAGGCAAAAAAUUGUAUCAAAUAUUUAGGGAAAACCAAAUCUGAUUAUUCUUAAUUGUUUAUUAUGUAGGUACAAACGAGGUAUUUAUAUCAUUAAAAAGGUUGUAGAACAUGGAAAAUGUCAAAGUGGAAAUUAUAUGUCUAAUUCUUAUAGUAACUUUUCGUAAAAACUGGAAGACAAUAAAAGUUGAAGCAUUAUUUGGUAAAGAUGAUUUGAUAAUGAUCUAAUAUGAUAUGGUCCAAAAGUAUAAAUGCCUAU
Balaenoptera acutorostrata (minke whale) is the source of this 5347-nucleotide long non-coding RNA. RefSeq lists it as uncharacterized. The transcript has 3 exons. The record is from RefSeq and is a predicted model, not a curated record. NCBI's taxonomy places the organism in Eukaryota, Metazoa, Chordata, Mammalia, Artiodactyla, Balaenopteridae.